AAUGCGGCCUUCUCUUUGGGGAGUAGCCAGCUUCCGGAUCAUCCGGAAGAGCCCGUGUCAACAUUCUCGGCAGCAGCAGCUGCCGUGGCGCGGGUAGCCAAUCGGUAGGCGAGACCAUAGACGUUUCCUGCGGCCAGGCUGGGCGCGCAGGCGCGUCCAUGGACUUUUCGCCCGGCCAAGGAAU
Molecule: small RNA, 184 nt
Filed under: Herbaspirillum seropedicae
Lineage: Bacteria; Pseudomonadati; Pseudomonadota; Betaproteobacteria; Burkholderiales; Oxalobacteraceae
Description: Manganese sequence
Rfam family: Manganese Mn2+ riboswitch aptamer (yybP-ykoY)
About the family: This RNA was originally discovered in E. coli during a large scale screen and was named SraF.
Source: RNAcentral